This 257-nucleotide ribosomal RNA is filed under the name uncultured bacterium. RNAcentral describes it as "partial 16S ribosomal RNA". It matches the Rfam family "Bacterial small subunit ribosomal RNA", at positions 795 to 1052 of the family's 1533-position model. The record is from RNAcentral.
CCAUGCUGUAAACGUUGUCUACUAGCCGUUGGGGGACAUGAUUCCUUAGUGGCGCAGCUAACGCGAUAAGUAGACCGCCUGGGGAGUACGGUCGCAAGACUAAAACUCAAAUGAAUUGACGGGGGCCCGCACAAGCAGUGGAUUAUGUGGUUUAAUUCGAAGCAACGCGAAGAACCUUACCAGGUCUUGACAUCUCCUGAAUAGCUUAGAGAUAAGUGAAGCCCUUCGGGGCAGGAAGACAGGUGGUGCAUGGUUGU